GUGAGGAAUUUUCCGCAAUGGGCGAAAGCCUGACGGAGCAAUGCCGCGUGAAGGAUGAAGGCCUAUGGGUUGUAAACUUCUUUUCUUAGAGAAGAAUACUGACGGUAUCUGAGGAAUAAGCAUCGGCUAACUCUGUGCCAGCAGCCGCGGUAAGACAGAGGAUGCAAGCGUUAUCCGGAAUGAUUGGGCGUAAAGCGUCUGUAGGUGGCUUCAAAAGUCUCCUGUCAAAGAUCAGGGCUUAACCCUGGGCCGGCAGGAGAAACUCUGAGGCUAGAGUUUGGUAGGGGCAGAGGGAAUUCCCGGUGGAGCGGUGAAAUGCGUAGAGAUCGGGAGGAACACCAAAGGCGAAAGCACUCUGCUGGGCCACAACUGACACUGAGAGACGAAAGCGAGGGGAGCAAAAGGGAUUAGAAACCCCGGUAGUCC
RNAcentral lists this ribosomal RNA (426 nucleotides) under uncultured bacterium. Its description in RNAcentral is "partial 16S ribosomal RNA". It matches the Rfam family "Bacterial small subunit ribosomal RNA", at positions 354 to 796 of the family's 1533-position model. The record is from RNAcentral.